GACAGAGGUGCCGAGCGUUAGGCGGAAUCACUGGGCUUAAAGCGUGUGUAGGCGAGCGGGCAAGUACCUUGUGAAAUCCCACGGCUCAACCGUGGAACGGCUGGGUAUACUGCCUGUCUUGAGCCAACUAGGGGCGAGCGGAACAGACGGUGGAGCGGUGAAAUGCGUAGAUAUCGUCUGGAACGCCGAAGGUGAAAACAGCUCGCUGGGGUUGUGCUGACGCUGAGACACGAAAGCCAGGGGAGCAAACGGG
Molecule: ribosomal RNA, 253 nt
Filed under: uncultured bacterium
Lineage: Bacteria
Description: partial 16S ribosomal RNA
Rfam family: Bacterial small subunit ribosomal RNA
Source: RNAcentral